Long non-coding RNA from Passer domesticus (house sparrow), 594 nucleotides. RefSeq lists it as uncharacterized. The transcript is spliced from 3 exons. Lineage: Eukaryota; Metazoa; Chordata; Aves; Passeriformes; Passeridae. The record is from RefSeq and is a predicted model, not a curated record.
UGCUGGCAUCAUCAUCUUCAUCUUCCUCUAGAAUGUCAUCAGAUGGAGGGGCCCACAAUUGCAAAAAGUCUGUUGCUGUCAAUAACCUGUUACCUGAAAGGGAAUGGUACCAAAGCUAUGGAACCAGAAUGAUGAAGCAAGGAGUCACGUAAACAAGCCAAGGACAAACCACAGAAGAAGGGAAGAAUGAAGAACCUGAGAAUUGCAAUGUCCCUAAUCAGUUUGAGAGGAGCAUUUGACAAAUUUGUGUUUUAUCAGCCUCAGUAAUGGAAGGCAGACGCUCAUCAGUAGCGGGCAGGCUUCGUCAGAACCCCAGUGCAACUGACUGUGCGCUUUGCAGAUGAGAUAUAAACACACACAAAUAUAUUUUAAAAAAAAAUGAAGACAGACAGAAGCACCCAGCGCAAUCCGAGGACACGCAGCGGGGGUUUCCCCGGUCGAUACAGCGGAGGGAGCCCGGCCGGGCUGACGGGCGAUGCGCGGCUGCCCCCAGAGCCGCCGGUGCCGCUCCGCCCGCGGCGCCCCCCGCCCGCCCGCCGGGCUCGCCCUCCCUGCGCUCUGCCCGGGCCUACGGCCGCCGUGCCCAGGCCGGCC